CUGUAACUAAUGAAAAGACUGGGAAUAUGGAGAAGGUUACAGAAAAGGGAUCAAAUUCUCGAAAAGACGGUGGUUGCAUCGAACUGCAGCUGAUUUAUAGCUCAGAGUACUACAUGAAAAUGGAAGAGCUGUGGAGGGGACUUCACAUGAUUCCAUGGAAGCGUGCAGGACUAUAUCAGGUACUCAUGAACCUCGGAUCCUACUUCUUUUUCAUAAUCAGGUUUAACUUCAUCAAUGUAUAAUCCUAGUUUAAUAAU
Molecule: long non-coding RNA, 257 nt
Filed under: Linum usitatissimum (flax)
Lineage: Eukaryota; Viridiplantae; Streptophyta; Magnoliopsida; Malpighiales; Linaceae
Description: long non-coding RNA (LUSI_LNC000613)
Source: RNAcentral